GAUGAACGCUGGCGGCGUGCCUAAUACAUGCAAGUCGAGCGAACAGACGAGGAGCUUGCUCCUCUGAUGUUAGCGGCGGACGGGUGAGUAACACGUGGAUAACCUACCUAUAAGACUGGGAUAACUUCGGGAAACCGGAGCUAAUACCGGAUAACAUGUUGAACCGCAUGGUUCAACAGUGAAAGACGGUCUUGCUGUCACUUAUAGAUGGAUCCGCGCCGCAUUAGCUAGUUGGUAAGGUAACGGCUUACCAAGGCAACGAUGCGUAGCCGACCUGAGAGGGCGAUCGGCCACACUGGAACUGAGACACGGUCCAGACUCCUACGGGAGGCAGCAGUAGGGAAUCUUCCGCAAUGGGCGAAAGCCUGACGGAGCAACGCCGCGUGAGUGAAGAAGGUCUUCGGAUCGUAAAACUCUGUUAUUAGGGAAGAACAAAUGUGUAAGUAACUAUGCACGUCUUGACGGUACCUAAUCAGAAAGCCACGGCUAACUACGUG
This 497-nucleotide ribosomal RNA is filed under the name uncultured bacterium. RNAcentral describes it as "partial 16S ribosomal RNA". It matches the Rfam family "Bacterial small subunit ribosomal RNA", at positions 28 to 507 of the family's 1533-position model. The record is from RNAcentral.